UUGGAGUCGUUUGCUUUGCAUUUGCGUCGCUUCGCAGCUUGUCGUGUCGGGUAGCUACACAAAUAGCAAAUAUCUACACCUGGAAUUGAAAAAAAAGUUGUUCUGCCUCAAUUAGAAAAAAUUUCACUGCAAGCAGCGACUUUUGACUGCGAUAGAAAUUAGAGAUUUUUGUGCGAAAUCCCAGAGUAAAAGCCGUUGGCGGAGUUCUGUGGACGUCUCUGUGGGCAGAAGCAGCAUAAUAAACGUGCAAUUGCAAAUCUUCAAAUUACAAGCAAAAACAAAAAAAAAACGGAAUGGACAAAUUGGAUACCAAUUUGGAACAGCAGUUCGAUUUGAAUCUUAUUGAAGCUGUGAAACUGAACCCGGUCAUAUACGACCGUUCCCACUAUAACUACAAGCAUUUUGUAAGGAAGGCGCAGACCUGGAAGCAGAUUGCAGAAUCACUUGGAGUUCCUGAACAAAAAUGCACUAAACGUUGGAAGAGUUUGCGCGAUAAAUUUGCGCGGGAAAUGAAAUUGUGCCAGGAAUCGCGUUGGCGUUACUUUAAGCAAAUGCAGUUCUUAGUCGAUUCGAUAAGACAAUAUCGCGAAUCGCUUUUGGGUAAAUGUAAUACUGUACAGCAGAAUACCAAUCAAGUAACACAAGUUGAUCCAAAUCAACAACAACAGCAGCCUCAGCAACAGGCUGUCGUAGAUAUAUUUGCACAGCCCUUCAACGGCAGUGCUACCACAUCGGCUCAAGCGCUUGCUCAUCCGCAUGAAAUUGCAGUUACAGGCGACACUCAAUUAACCGCCGCCGGUAAAGAUCAAAAACCAUAUUUCUAUGAGCCACCACUGAAGCGCGAGCGUACCGAGGAAGAAAAUCACGACAAUAUGCUAAACACAAUCAAGAUUUUCCAAAAUUCGAUGUCGCAGGCAGUUAGUGCUGAGGAUCAAUCGUUUGGCAUGGUGGUCACUGACAUGCUUAACACCUUGGGUGUGCGACAGAAGGCUGAAGCAAAGGUGCACAUCAUCAAAUACCUUACGGAUAUGCAAUUGCUGGCACAGCAUAACAAAUAUUAGAUGGAGUAACGCGUGGCGAUAUGCAUAUUUAAUGUGUUUGUAGAAGUUUUGAAAUAGCUACACAUGCGUUCAUGCUUAAUUUAAAAUACCAUAUUUCGAUAUACGUGCAUAGUUGUAACAGGGAAGAAUAUAAAUAAGUGGAAUAAUUGCCGAUGGCACUUCUUCAAUCUUAAUUGGAUUUAUUGUAUUUACCUAUUAGAAAUUAUUCGCGUAUAAGAGCUUAAUGUAAUACAUACUUAUGUAUAUACAUACAUACUAUAAUAUGAAACAUGUAUACAUGUGAAUUUAUAAAUGAAAAAACAAAA
Molecule: unclassified non-coding RNA, 1366 nt
Filed under: Rhagoletis pomonella (apple maggot)
Lineage: Eukaryota; Metazoa; Arthropoda; Insecta; Diptera; Tephritidae
Description: transcription factor Adf-1, transcript variant X5
Source: RNAcentral